Molecule: ribosomal RNA, 357 nt
Filed under: Triticum aestivum (bread wheat)
Lineage: Eukaryota; Viridiplantae; Streptophyta; Magnoliopsida; Poales; Poaceae
Description: partial small subunit ribosomal RNA
Source: RNAcentral
AUGGUUGACCACAUCCAUGUAGCCAGCCAAGCCAUAACGAAUGAAGCAGAUUUCAAAAUCAAAACUGUUUCGUGGCGGCCAUGCUUGCUUCUCUGGCUCACUCCAAACUUUGGAUUGUGCACUAUGCAUUAUUGCCAUCUAUCUAUACUGCAAACGCUGAAGAAAGAAGGCACUGCUCACUGCUCACUUGUGUUGAGCGCUGACAGCUUCGCACCAUCAGAUCGAUCCCACAGUCCUACUCCUACUAGUGCUGUACCACAAAACUUUCUACUGAUCCAGGCAAUGAUAAUAAAUGAAAUAGAUGAGGUGCCAGCCAGAUUUGCAGAGACCACGCUGAUGCUCCACAAGCGCCACUAA